Molecule: transfer RNA, 65 nt
Filed under: Dipodomys ordii (Ord's kangaroo rat)
Lineage: Eukaryota; Metazoa; Chordata; Mammalia; Rodentia; Heteromyidae
Rfam family: tRNA
About the family: Transfer RNA (tRNA) molecules are approximately 80 nucleotides in length.
Source: Rfam by way of RNAcentral
GGUGGCUCAAUAGUAGAGUGCUUGCCUUGCAUGCAUGAGGCCCUGGGUUCAAUUCCUCAGCACCA